UCAAACACGGAUUCCCGUACGAUUAUCGAAGUCAAGCAAUGUCAAGCAUGGCUAGUACUUAGAUGGGUGACUGCUUGGGAAUACCAGGGGCUGUAA
Non-coding RNA from Acanthosepion pharaonis, 96 nucleotides. NCBI's taxonomy places the organism in Eukaryota, Metazoa, Mollusca, Cephalopoda, Sepiida, Sepiidae. The record is from the annotation of a GenBank genome assembly.